UACGAAGGUCCCGAGCGUUGUUCGGAAUCACUGGGCGUAAAGGGAGCGUAGGCGGCGUAGUAAGUCAGAUGUGAAAUCCCGGGGCUCAACCCCGGAACUGCAUCCGAUACUGCUAUGCUAGAGUAAUGGAGGGGUAGCUGGAAUUCUUGGUGUAGCAGUGAAAUGCGUGGAUAUCAAGAGGAACACUCGUGGCGAAAGCGAGCUACUGGACAUUUACUGACGCUGAGGCUCGAAGGCUAGGGGAGCGAAAGGG
RNAcentral lists this ribosomal RNA (253 nucleotides) under uncultured bacterium. RNAcentral's name for it is "partial 16S ribosomal RNA". It matches the Rfam family "Bacterial small subunit ribosomal RNA", at positions 524 to 776 of the family's 1533-position model. The record is from RNAcentral.